GAUGAACGCUAGCGACAGGCUUAACACAUGCAAGUCGAGGGGCAGCAUAGGGUAGCAAUACUCUGAUGGCGACCGGCAAACGGGUGAGUAACGCGUAUGCAACCUACCCUGUACAGGGGGAUAACCCGGAGAAAUUCGGACUAAUAUCCCGUAAUAAUAUCCGGAGGCAUCUUUGGAUAUUUAAAGUUCCGACGGUACGGGAUGGGCAUGCGUAACAUUAACUGGUUGGUAAGGUAACGGCUUACCAAGGCUAUGAUGUUUAGGGGUCCUGAGAGGGUGGUCCCCCACACUGGUACUGAGACACGGACCAGACUCCUACGGGAGGCAGCAGUGAGGAAUAUUGGUCAAUGGGCGCAAGCCUGAACCAGCCAUCCCGCGUGCAGGAAGACGGCCCUAUGGGUUGUAAACUGCUUUUCCAGGGAGAGAAACUUACGCACGUGUUGCGUGACUGACGGUACCCUGGGAAUAAGCAUCGGCUAACUCCGUGCCAGCAGCCGCGGUAAACUGUCUACG
Molecule: ribosomal RNA, 513 nt
Filed under: uncultured bacterium
Lineage: Bacteria
Description: bacterial SSU rRNA
Rfam family: Bacterial small subunit ribosomal RNA
Source: RNAcentral